RNAcentral lists this long non-coding RNA (782 nucleotides) under Equus caballus (horse). RNAcentral's name for it is "lncRNA (ENSECAG00000054951.1)". The record is from RNAcentral. Lineage: Eukaryota; Metazoa; Chordata; Mammalia; Perissodactyla; Equidae.
CAAAGCCCUUUAGAAGAAUUCCAUCUUUCCUUCGCUGCACGUUAUGGUCACGUGGAGAGCAGAGUGACUCCGGCUCCAUCUGGUUUCCAUGCUGAAACUGAUGACCGCGGGGACCACGCUCCAGGAGGGCAGGAGAAACCUUCUGACUCGCAUACUGGACCAGGUCUCUAAGGAGCCAGGCGGGUCUCCCAAGGAAACUGAAAUGGCUUGAGAGAGAAGGAAGGAGCCUGGCUUUCAUCUAAAGGACAGGAGAUGACGAGUGUUGGCGAGGAUGUGGAGAACAGGGAGCCUUGUGCUGUUGGUGCGGAGCUCCACAGGUGAAAAGAACAAGGCGCUGACACCUGACACGACGUGGAUGAACCUCGAAAACAUCAUGCUGAGUGAAAGAAGCCAGACUUUGCGGCCACAGAUCGUGUGAUUCCUCUGACAGGAAAUGUCCAGAACAGGCUCUUCGGAAGCUGAGGAAGGCUCCUCUGCGUGCAGGUGCAGCCGGAAGCACAGAGACUGAGCUCCAGGAGGAGACACCCGGCCGGCGGAGAAUGAGAGUUGGGGGAUGGACGUCCCAACCCCCAUCCUCCAGAGAGCCCGCUCCAGGACUGUCCAGACAAACCACCAGAAAACAAAGCUAAGACACGACAGAAGAGAACACGAUUGAAGACCAAGAGCGGUCACAAUGUCGGAUGCUGCAGACAGCCCACAAACGAUGGUCACAGGGAGACAAGCCGAAAAAGAAGGAUUGGGACUCGGGGAAAAGAACUUCAUUUCACAUGCCUAACUCAUCC